This 31-nucleotide non-coding RNA is filed under the name Mus musculus (house mouse). The record is from RNAcentral. Lineage: Eukaryota; Metazoa; Chordata; Mammalia; Rodentia; Muridae.
UACAAAGUCUAACUAAUGGAAUUUCAUGGUC